GUUGGGACCUGUUCCAGGCUGAGGUUCAAAAUGUAAGGGACGACUGUCAUUGCAAGCAAUGUCGGUGAAUUUACACCAAUUACAAUACUAUACAACACAAUUUACCCAGGGGCACUUUAGCGUCUCCAUUAACACAUGUUUUCGGGAGGUGGGACGAAAUCGGAUUUCCUGGAGAAAGCCGACACAGCCUCGGGCAGAACCUGCCAAUUGCACACACAGGGAGGGCUGGGAAUUGAACCCCAGUCCUCAGAAGCGGGAGGCCAACGCUGUACCAGUUGCGCCAUCCAUCCAUCUGUUUUCUUAGCCGCUUAUCCCCACGAGGGUUGCGGGAGUGCUGGAGUCGAUCCCAGCUGUCAACGAGGAGGUGCGAACGGGGUACACCCUGAACUGGUCGCCAGCCAAUCGCAGGGCACAUCGAGACAAACAGCCGCAAUCACAGUCACACCUCGGGGCAAUUUAGAGUGUCCAAUUAAUGUUGCAUGUUUUUGGGAUGUGGGAGGAAACCGGAGCGGCCAGAGAAAACCCACAAAGGCACGGGGAGGACAUGCAAACUCCACACAAGCGGCUCCGGGAUGGAACCCGGGCCUUCAGAACCGUGAGUCCAACGCUUUACCGGCUGAUCCACCGUGAUUAUGCUCAUUAAGAAUACUAUUAUACGAGCAUUCUUUUUUUUUUUUUUUUUAAACUAUUAUUACUAGAUGAUAUGUAGAUGAGAAACAAAAGGUCUUCGUUUCAGGGGCAGUACUGUAGCGUACUUUGCAAUGGCAAUCGUGGGUCCCUCGAGGUCGGGCCGCGGGGAAACAGCGCCACCGUUCGCCGGCUCCGCGGAACGACUCGUCCGCUUUUGUCAGUCGAGUCCGCCGAUCGUCGACGGAGCUCCAUUACAAUCCAGUCGUGUAGGGAGUCAGUCAGUCAGGCAGACAGUCAGCGAGAGACGCUUUGCUCGUUCGGCCCGCGCGCUGCUCGCCAGCCCAGCCGCCUGAAUGUAGAUCCGCAUGGGCUACUACUACGACGACCGCACUCGCUUUCUCCAAAUAACCCAGCGGAGAGAUAAGAUAAGGAUCCCAGGAUGGUGUUAGUGCAUGUCGGAUACCUGGUUCUCCCCGUAUUCGGCUCAGUAAGAAACCGAGUAUGGAGGCUGGCUCUACAUUCUGCAUUUAUCAGAUCUUUGUCGUCCCCCCCAUUGUGUAGCUAAUGAUCAUCUGCUGCUGUGUGGUGUGGCGUGGCCUCUGCCUGUUCUCUGCAUUUAGCUGUAUUGUGAACCCCUUCUUCAUUUCCUCUUUCCAUCCGAAGACGACAUUGGUAUUAAAAAAAAAAAACAAAACAAAGCACCCCUUCCCCCUCUCCUCUUCCUCUUCCUCCUCCCUUCAAGAUGUAUUCCAACCAUGUCAAGCUAACAAAAAACAAAAACAAACAAACAAAAAAAAAACAAAAAACAAGCUAACAUCUUAGAGCAGAGCACCUUUUUGUCUUUUGUUUCUGUCGAUUUUUUGCUGUAGCGCCCGAGUGGACAUGUAGCUCCUUUUUUAAUGGAAUGUCAUUGUGUACCUCCCAUCCAGUCUUUUGAUAGACAACAUGCUGUAAAUUCCUGUCAAGUGGAUACAUUUUUGCAUGAUCUGAAAAGCGGCUGCACUCGCAUUGUUGAACACCAGAAUUUGGCUCAUCCUCCUUUUCUCUUCACUCAAGGUGCAGUGUACAUGUUCUCGUGUGACAAUUUGGACGGCGAAAUUAGCCUUUCGCUGUCCGGCGGAGCAUCCAAAGUCCAACGCGGGCCCUUCUUUGAUGGGUUCUUCUAAUUUCUUGAUGAUUAUCUCCCAUAGAAAAACAUUUCAAUUUGACUACAUUUGUUCCAAGAUCAAAUUAUGCCUAUGAUAAAUGUAGUCUAUCGCUAACCUAUGCAAACACAGUGGCGAAGUUACAGUAAAACGCUUGCAGCAUAUAAAUAUAGAAAUGAGUCAAAAACUCAGUGUGGUGACAACUGACUCUUAUGUACUGAAAGAAAGAUUUUUUUUUUUUUGUACAUUUCAACACUCCGUAGAAUCAUACAACAAACCUCAGUUUAUCGCAGCGAGAGGUUCCGAAGCCUUCGAAAUAAAGAAAUGCUUUUCAAAAUAGUUUUCUCCCGGCCACAUUUGAAACUUAUAGAAACAUACUUUUUCAAGUAUUUCUACUGCCCGUAUGUCCACAAGCUGUUCUCUGAAUCAAAUCCCAAGUGGGCUUGCUUCUGGCUUAUCGUCACCCCAAAUUGAUGUUUACUGUAAAACUGACCCAAAAACGAGUUCAAGCACUAAAAAUCUCAACCAAAGUUGAUUUAGUUGAGCCAAAGUCUGCUCGCAUAAUGCUAACAUUUAAAGUGAAAGACCAAAUGGAAAUUAGCCUUGUCGAUAACGUACCAAGAACUACAAACCUCUAGCCGAUUGCUAGUUGAAUACAGAUGGAGCAGCGGUACAUAAAAUCACGGCAGUUGUACAUUUUCUCUGCUCUGUCGGAGUGACUGUUAAUCAAUAUUAGUUUGGGACCUUCUUUGCCUCUUCUUUUUGGGUUUAAUUAGGCUACAUCUCUUCCAGCAGACCUCAAUACUGCCUUGAAUGUCGCGGCGCAACAUGGUGCUAAAAGUACACCGACCACUCUAAAUUCCGCCUCGUUUGUGUACUGUAAAAGCCAUAAAGGAUCGCCUAAAAAGCUACAAUAAUUCUGGGGAGUGGAAAUGAUUCACCGCGAUAGAGCGACGGAACACUGUGCUUGUAUCAGGAUCGUUGAUCGUUGUACAACAAAACUAAAUUCAAGUAAGAGUACUUUCUCUUUGGUAGUUAAUGUUUAUGCACUCUUAUGGUGUAAAAUCAUAAAGCGAAAUGGUCUGGACUUCUGUGCCAUAUUGUUCCAAAAAGAUCAGUUUGAAUAUUGUCCCACUUUUGGGGGGCUGGACUUUGGAGUUUGGCCUGGUAAUGAACGGAACGGAACGAAGGUACACUGCACCUGCACACGACAACAUGCCAUAACUGUCUCCAUUUUGUCUAGUCCUUUUGUUCCCCCUUUUGCAAAAACAAAUCUUUGAAUCACACUGAAAUGUUGGGCCUGCUUCUCUUUCUAACAGCCUCCAAAACAAUAAUGGAUAGAAUGCAGUGGCACCUCCAAGGUCGAGCGCACUCUGUUCGGUCACCAACAUCAAAACUUCGAUUAACAUUUUUAGCUUUGAUAAACUGUCAGGCCAGUAAACGGUAAAGCCUCGGUUCUCCAACGUCCCCGUUUUCGAACGAAAAUUUCGAGAUAUUUCUGCUUUUGUUUUCGAACGAAAAUCGGUACUCGAGCAGCCCUGCAGAACCCGGACCAGCUGACCCACGACGCCGAAAAAACCCGGAAAUAACAUAAUGAGCAUGCCGCAAGCAGUUGACCCACCCGUGACGCGUUUUGUUGCUGUCAAUUCGAACGCACCCCGAAAAAAAAAACCCCCGGAAAUGACAUAACGCGCGCGGCGCAACCAGUGCACUUUUGUUAUUGCGUAUAACGCAGCCUCUGUACACGGACGUGUCCUGGUAGUGACUGUUGUUUUUCUUCUUCUGGAGGACGACCGUAUUAACCCCCAGUCGUGGCUCCAAAGAAGGCAAGUUGCUUGUUUAAAGUUAUUCUGCACUUUUGUUAACAAAAAAAGUUUACAAGGCCGGGGGCCGAGUCGCUACAGAUACGGCAAUGCGCUCCCAGCCUAGCGUACUCUAAAGCAUACAUUUUAAGCAAAAACUAAAUAUAUUUCCCAAAUUAUUUUAUUAUAUAAAGUAUUUAUACUAUACAUGUAAUUCUACUAUGCAGUUUAUUAUCAGGAACAGCCAAAAAAAAAAAAAAUGCUUUAAAAAGCCCACUUUGUUUAGGCUUGGAACACAUUAUUUCUUUUUCCAUUUAUUGUAAUGGGAAACAUCGAUUCGGUUUUUGACCAAAUCACGUCUCGAACCGUUUUCUGGAACGGAUUGUGGUCGAGAACCGAGGCAUCAAUGUAUCUAGAAGUUAACCAAUCAAUAGUAGUAGUACAAGCAGACGGAGUUCCGUUCCUAUAGGGAUAUCGCAACCCGAAAGUUAGAACAUGGGCUCAUCUAGCUCUUACCUAAAAGUCACAAUUCUUGUAACUGCGAUGUUUGAAAAGGCAGCACUGGUUAGCAUCUCUGCCUCACAGUUCAGAGGACCAGGGUUCAAAUCCAGCCUCGCCUGUGCGGCGUUUGCAUGUUCUGCGCGCGACAGCACGGGUUUUCUCCGGGCAGCCCGAAAAACACGCACGGUAGAUUGAUUUGAAGACUCUUAACUUGUCUGUAGGCACGAACGUUAGUGCAAAUGGUUUGUUUGUUUAUAUGUGCCCUGCGAUUGGCACGUUCCAAAAUUGAAUUGAGUGAAAUUCCAAAUUGAACCAUUAAUGUAAAAAAAAAAAAAAAAAUUGGGAACACAAAUCAGACGGUAGAAAUCAACCAAGCAAGCAAGCAAACCAAAGACACUUCUCUUAAUACUAACAUAAUGCUUCCAUAUAAUACAAAAAGUUGUAGACUGCUGAAUUAAAAUUUGCAUGGAUGUCACAGUAGUUCUAAACCUUGAAACAUUUCCACUGUAACAUGCGUGAAGCAGUCAUGACGCUGAACGUGGCUUAAUAGGAGGGGCACAUGGCGACCGGCCAUCAUCUCCAGCCACCAUGACGCUGAAAAGCUUGCUAAAGCCGAACAAAAGCACUUUCUGCUUUGUAAGGAGGCCAACGCAAAAUGCAAAACAGAUGCAGGGAUAGUGGUCGAGUCAGUCGCUUUGAAACAGGCGGAUCUAGUCUGACAGAGUGCCGUUUUCGAGCUUGAAAGGUUUCAAGCGUUUUUGACUUUGGGGGUUCCACUGUAUCAGCAGGCAAAAUGCGCUCACUGGUGGUUCAUCACUUUCCCAAAAAUCCUCCCCACUAACGAACUUAUGCGCAAAAUGCUAUCCAUUUCACAGGGAUGCCUAUAUUUUCCUGCACUGCUCAAAAGAGAUUCUCUAGUAGUAUAACGUGUCUAUUGUUUGGUUGUGGUUUCUCUUGAUAGUACUUUUUUUCCAAUGCAUGGUCACGUUUUAUGAUUCAUAUACUUUUGUUUUUCUUUUUGAUUUUUGUUUUUUGGUUUGACUCUACAUUGACCUGUGAGAAUCCAAUGUAAUCUUUCUGUAGUAAAGAUGUUACCCUGCUGUACUUGAA
RNA transcript from Syngnathoides biaculeatus (alligator pipefish), 5188 nucleotides. It is a transcript of the gene named arkadia (RNF111) C-terminal like ring finger ubiquitin ligase 2Cb, with no coding region annotated. The transcript is spliced from 2 exons. The record is from RefSeq and is a predicted model, not a curated record. NCBI's taxonomy places the organism in Eukaryota, Metazoa, Chordata, Actinopteri, Syngnathiformes, Syngnathidae.